This 572-nucleotide ribosomal RNA is filed under the name uncultured Glomeromycotina. Its description in RNAcentral is "SSU rRNA". It matches the Rfam family "Eukaryotic small subunit ribosomal RNA", at positions 548 to 1114 of the family's 1831-position model. Lineage: Eukaryota; Fungi; Glomeromycota. The record is from RNAcentral.
UUGGAGGGCAAGUCUGGUGCCAGCAGCCGCGGUAAUUCCAGCUCCAAUAGCGUAUAUUAAAGUUGUUGCAGUUAAAAGGCUCGUAGCUGAAUUUCGGGAUUGACGUGAUGGUCAUGCCUUAAGGGGUAUGAACUGUUGCAGUUGAUUUCUCACCUUCUGGAGAAACUUGAUGUCCUUUAUUGGGUGUCUCGCGGAUCCAGGACCUUUACCUUGAAAAAAUUAGAGUGUUUAAAGCAGGCAUUUUUGCUCGAAUACAUUAGCAUGGAAUAAUAGAAUAGGACGGCAUGGUUCUAUUUUGUUGGUUUCUAGGAUCACCGUAAUGAUUAAUAGGGAUAGUUGGGGGCAUUAGUAUUCAAUUGUCAGAGGUGAAAUUCUUGGAUUUAUUGAAGACUAACUACUGCGAAAGCAUUUGCCAAGGAUGUUUUCAUUAAUCAAGAACGAAAGUUAGGGGAUCGAAGACGAUCAGAUACCGUCGUAGUCUUAACCAUAAACUAUGCCGACUAGGAAUCAGACGAUGUUAAUUUUUUAGUGACUCGUUUGGCACCUUACGGGAAACCAAAGUGUUUGGGUUC